This 1774-nucleotide long non-coding RNA is filed under the name Mus musculus (house mouse). RNAcentral's name for it is "maternally expressed 3". The stretch from base 521 to 622 matches the Rfam family "Maternally expressed 3 conserved region 2". The record is from RNAcentral. Lineage: Eukaryota; Metazoa; Chordata; Mammalia; Rodentia; Muridae.
CACAGAAGACGAAGAGCUGGAAUAGAGCUCGCCUCGGCUCUGCUGGCCUUGGCUGCAGCUCUUCCAGAAACCCGGGGCGCCCACAGAAGAAUCUCUUACCUGGCUCUCUCUUCAGGGAUGACAUCAUCGGCUCACACCAGUCUUCCAGGACCACCUUCUGGAUGCCAAGGCUGCUGCUCGAGUACCUGCUGUGCACCUCUACCUCCUGAGCCAAGGAGCACGGAUUCCAGGAACCCACUACCAUACAGAGCAACUCCUUGUGGACCCCCCUGGGAUCAGGACAGCGAGGGACAAGCGACAAAGAGGAUCAUCAGUGGCCAGCUAGUUUCUCUGGGGUUCAAACCUUGAACCAGUGCCCUAGUGAGGGGGCACUGGCCAUGGCCCUUGACCUUUGCUCUGCUUGUGUCUUGAGUCUGAGCCCUUUCCUGUACAUCUGUGCUCGUGUUCAUCUGCUAGUGAACUGGAGUGCUGCCCUCCCCGAGGAGGGUCGUCCCUUGUGACUGAUCAUGCUGUCCUAACAAUGUCCUGAGCAAAAGGGUCCCUUUGGGAACCUCUCAGGAGGGGGACCCGGGUCAGGGGCGACCAGCAUCUUGCUGGCAACUCCGUGGGUGGGGUGGGGUGGGGUGCUUCCUUCUGGAAUGAGCACGUGGCUGACCCCCCAAGGCAUGUCCCCUCCCCCUCCUCCACCCACCUUCUCGGAGAUGUCCCUUUUGGGGUAGUGGGGACAUUAGGAGCAACCUCCUAGGGUUGUUGUGAGAAUUAAAUGAACUGCAGCAGCCUGAGGCAGGGCUGGGCAGAGACCUCAGCACAUGUUUGUUGAAAGGUUUGCAGGUGGAUCUAGUCCUCCCGUUCAUGGCUCAUGUGUCUCAACCAUUCUCUCGCAGACUCCUGCAGCCCCUAUGCCCAGGGCUCUCCUUGCGCCAGCCCCGGCUUCUCGAGGCCUGUCUACACUCGCUGCUUUCCUUCCUCACCUCCAAUUUCCCCUCCAACCCACUGCUUCCUGACUCGCUCUUCUCCAUCGAACGGCUCUCGCUCAGGUUUAAGGCUUGGCUUGCUGGCCCUGGAGAUCCCGUCGCCGUCUUCGUCGAACUCGAAAUCCUAGCCAUCGUCCUUCCCUGGCCUGUCGCGUCUUCCUGUGCCAUUUGCUGUUGUGCUCAGGUUCCACGAGCUGCCCAUCUCCACAGAAGAGCAGCUGGCAUUGCCCACCGGCCAUGCCGGCUGAAGAAAAGAAGACUGAGGACCCCAGGAUGCCCAGCGCGAGGACCCCAGGAAGCCCAGCGCGAGGACUCCACCCACGACGCCCAGCGCGAGGACUUCACGCACAACACGUUGCAACCCUCCUGGAUUAGGCCAAAGCCAUCAUCUGGAAUCCUGCGUGGGACCCUGGACACACGGACACAGACACCUGCCCCCAGGACCCUCCAACUGUAAAUCCCUCUACAGCCACGGGGACGCCUUGCACAUUUCCUGUGGGACAUGCUGGACCCAAGACUCUGGACCCUGGCCUCCCCUUGAGUAGAGAGACCCACCUACUGACUGAUGAACUGCGCUGACCCUGGGGUCAGGCAUGUGGCCUUGAUCCCUACCCAUGGACCCUGAGACUUGGGGGGGUGGGAGAAAGGCUGUUGUGUCUUCACUGUUGAGUCUACAUCUGUGAAAUGGGCUCAGGUUCCUACCUCACAGGGCUGUUGUGAGGCAGCCGCAAUGUGCUUAGAAGCAUGGGGCCUAGUGGCUCAUGGUGCUUUCAAUAAAUUUCUUGUUUUAACUAAAGCAG